UACGUAGGGGGCGAGCGUUGUCCGGAAUUAUUGGGCGUAAAGGGUUCGCAGGCGGUCUUUUAAGUCAGAUGUGAAAGGCUACGGCUCAACCGUGGUAAGCAUUUGAAACUGAAAGACUUGAGUUAAGGAGAGGAAAGUGGAAUUCCUAGUGUAGCGGUGAAAUGCGUAGAUAUUAGGAGGAAUACCAGUGGCGAAGGCGACUUUCUGGACUUAUACUGACGCUGAGGAACGAAAGCGUGGGGAGCAAACAGG
RNAcentral lists this ribosomal RNA (252 nucleotides) under uncultured bacterium. Its description in RNAcentral is "partial 16S ribosomal RNA". It matches the Rfam family "Bacterial small subunit ribosomal RNA", at positions 524 to 776 of the family's 1533-position model. The record is from RNAcentral. RNAcentral also lists the same sequence under 1 other name.